Molecule: ribosomal RNA, 1387 nt
Filed under: Pseudomonas aeruginosa
Lineage: Bacteria; Pseudomonadati; Pseudomonadota; Gammaproteobacteria; Pseudomonadales; Pseudomonadaceae
Description: bacterial SSU rRNA
Rfam family: Bacterial small subunit ribosomal RNA
Source: RNAcentral
GUCGAGCGGAUGAAGGGAGCUUGCUCCUGGAUUCUGCGGCGGACGGGUGAGUAAUGCCUAGGAAUCUGCCUGGUAGUGGGGGAUAACGUCCGGAAACGGGCGCUAAUACCGCAUAAGUCCUGAGGGAGAAAGUGGGGGAUCUUCGGACCUCACGCUAUCAGAUGAGCCUAGGUCGGAUUAGCUAGUUGGUGGGGUAAAGGCCUACCAAGGCGACGAUCCGUAACUGGUCUGAGAGGAUGAUCAGUCACACUGGAACUGAGACACGGUCCAGACUCCUACGGGAGGCAGCAGUGGGGAAUAUUGGACAAUGGGCGAAAGCCUGAUCCAGCCAUGCCGCGUGUGUGAAGAAGGUCUUCGGAUUGUAAAGCACUUUAAGUUGGGAGGAAGGGCAGUAAGUUAAUACCUUGCUGUUUUGACGUUACCAACAGAAUAAGCACCGGCUAACUUCGUGCCAGCAGCCGCGGUAAUACGAAGGGUGCAAGCGUUAAUCGGAAUUACUGGGCGUAAAGCGCGCGUAGGUGGUUCAGCAAGUUGGAUGUGAAAUCCCCGGGCUCAACCUGGGAACUGCAUCCAAAACUACUGAGCUAGAGUACGGUAGAGGGUGGUGGAAUUUCCUGUGUAGCGGUGAAAUGCGUAGAUAUAGGAAGGAACACCAGUGGCGAAGGCGACCACCUGGACUGAUACUGACACUGAGGUGCGAAAGCGUGGGGAGCCAACAGGAUUAGAUACCCUGGUAGUCCACGCCGUAACGAUGUCGACUAGCCCUUGGGAUCCUUGAGAUCUUAGUGGCGCAGCUAACGCGAUAAGUCGACCGCCUGGGGAGUACGGCCGCAAGGUUAAAACUCAAAUGAAUUGACGGGGGCCCGCACAAGCGGUGGAGCAUGUGGUUUAAUUCGAAGCAACGCGAAGAACCUUACCUGGCCUUGACAUGCUGAGAACUUUCCAGAGAUGGAUUGGUGCCUUCGGGAACUCAGACACAGGUGCUGCAUGGCUGUCGUCAGCUCGUGUCGUGAGAUGUUGGGUUAAGUCCCGUAACGAGCGCAACCCUUGUCCUUAGUUACCAGCACCUCGGGUGGGCACUCUAAGGAGACUGCCGGUGACAAACCGGAGGAAGGUGGGGAUGACGUCAAGUCAUCAUGGCCCUUACGGCCAGGGCUACACACGUGCUACAAUGGUCGGUACAAAGGGUUGCCAAGCCGCGAGGUGGAGCUAAUCCCAUAAAACCGAUCGUAGUCCGGAUCGCAGUCUGCAACUCGACUGCGUGAAGUCGGAAUCGUUUGUAAUCGUGAAUCAGAAUGUCACGGUGAAUACGUUCCCGGGCCUGCUACACACCGCCCGUCACACCAUGGGAGUGGGUUGCUCCCGAAGUAGAUUGUUUAUCCGCAAG